ACCAAGUUUGCCGAUGGCUGCGGUCACCUCUGUUCAUAUUGCCAAACGAAAUUCUGUGCUAGGUGUGGAGGACGAGUGUCUCUGCGGUCAAAUAAGGAGGACAAAGUGGUAAUGUGGGUAUGCAACUUGUGCCGAAAACAACAAGAAAUCCUCACCAAAUCGGGGGAGUGGUUCUACAGCUCAGGGCCUGGUCAAGUGUUUGAGGGUGGGCCGCAAGGAAAAAAGGCCAAACUGCAAGACCCAUCCCUAUACCCCUACCAGGGAGCCUCAGGAGACUUGACAACAACAUCAGACAGAAGCAGACCUCACGGCGGCCUCCUACCUAGACAGGCAUCACUUGACAAUGGUACAGGACUAAGGUACUCGGGACCUGGUGACACACCCAU
Melanotaenia boesemani (Boeseman's rainbowfish) is the source of this 386-nucleotide long non-coding RNA. RefSeq lists it as uncharacterized. Lineage: Eukaryota; Metazoa; Chordata; Actinopteri; Atheriniformes; Melanotaeniidae. The record is from RefSeq and is a predicted model, not a curated record. The transcript has 3 exons.